Molecule: ribosomal RNA, 1035 nt
Filed under: Triticum aestivum (bread wheat)
Lineage: Eukaryota; Viridiplantae; Streptophyta; Magnoliopsida; Poales; Poaceae
Description: partial small subunit ribosomal RNA
Source: RNAcentral
AUGUACAAAUAUACGAUCAAUGGAUCAACAAAUCAUUGUCCGGCCAGGCAAUCGCGUUCACGUGCCCUUGCUCGGCCCGACGACGCCGUCGUUGCCGGCGAGCGCGAGGUACUUGUCCUUCCUGGUGAAGCCGGUGCACUCGAAGGAGAGCGCCGAGGCGAUGAGCCUCUGCACGUGGUUCGCCACCUCGUGGCUCGACCUCCCGCCGCCGCCGCAGGUGUGCUCCGCCGGCAGCCUGUCGAGGAACGUCACCGUGUACUGCGGCCGCGGAUUCAUGAACAGGUAGAAGGGGUCCAUCCCCUUCCAGCCCCUGGCCGUGGUGCCGUGGAACAUGCUCAUCCGGCACUCCGUCGCCACGGGCACGAUGUCGUCGCUGAGCUCCGCGAAGAGCGACGAGAAGCGCAGCAGGAAGGGCUCCCGGCACGUCGUCCCCUCGGGGCAGACGACGAGGUCGCCCCCGGCGAGCAGGCGCCUGAUGGCGGCGGCGUCGGUGGCGCGGUCGCGGGUGAGGCGGACGGUGCGGAUCGGCGAGAGGAACUCGGAGAGGCGGGAGAGCGAGUAGGUGACGACGGACACGGGGCGGCCGAGCGCCACGGAGAUGAACACCGGGUCCAGGAGCGUGCGGUGGGAGCAGGCGAAGAGCGCGCCCGUGCGGCCCUCGGCAUGCUUCGGGCGCGGCGGGGGCGCGCCCCGCACCACGACACGCACGCCCAGCGCACGGUAGACGUGGUACUGCCACGGCAUCGGGACGAGCGACCCCGCGGCGACCCGGACGCACGCGAGAAGGAAGCCGAUGGGGUACCACACCACGGCGAGCAACGCGGCCAGCGGGGUCGGCCGCUGGACGAGGCGGCCGUCGUGGAAGACCACCGGCUUCCGCAGCUUGUCCGCGCCCACGGCGUCCACCGGCUCCCGCGGCACGAGGUACGCCUCCUGCAGUCCAAAACCAAAGUUACAAAAGUAUUCUGCGCACGAACUUUGUAUACAAGUAGUGACCAUGGUCGGCCACACUUUUCGCUACCGGUAGCAUUUUAA